CCUACGGGUGGCAGCAGUGAGGAAUAUUGGUCAAUGGGCGCGACCCUGAACCAGCCACGUAGCGUGAAGGAUGACUGCCCUACGGGUUGUAAACUUCUUUUAUAAAGGAAUAAAGUGAGGCACGUAUGCCUUAUUGUAUGUACUUUAUGAAUAAGGAUCGGCUAACUCCGUGCCAGCAGCCGCGGUAAUACGGAGGAUCCGAGCGUUAUCCGGAUUUAUUGGGUUUAAAGGGAGCGUAGAUGGGUUGUUAAGUCAGUUGUGAAAGUUUGCGGCUCAACCGUAAAAUUGCAAUUGAUACUGGCAGUCUUGAGUACAGUUGAGGUAGGCGGAAUUCGUGGUGUAGCGGUGAAAUGCUUAGAUAUCACGAAGAAUUCUGAUUGCGAAGGCAGCCUACUAGACUGCCACUGACAUUGAUGCUCGAAAGUGUGGGUAUCAAACAGGAUUAGAUACCCCUGUAGUC
This 460-nucleotide ribosomal RNA is filed under the name uncultured bacterium. RNAcentral describes it as "partial 16S ribosomal RNA". It matches the Rfam family "Bacterial small subunit ribosomal RNA", at positions 338 to 795 of the family's 1533-position model. The record is from RNAcentral.